Molecule: long non-coding RNA, 1003 nt
Filed under: Sus scrofa (pig)
Lineage: Eukaryota; Metazoa; Chordata; Mammalia; Artiodactyla; Suidae
Description: lncRNA (ENSSSCG00030055864.1)
Source: RNAcentral
CUUUUUUUAGGGCUGUACCCAAGGCAUGUGGAAGCUCCCAGGCUAGGGGUCUAAUCGGAGCAACAGCUGCUGGCCUAUGCCUGAGCCACAGCAACGCCAGAUCCCAGCUUCAUCUGUGACCUAUACCACAGCUCACGGCAACGCCAGAUCCUUAACCCACUGAGCAAGGCCAGGGAUCGAACCUAAAACCUCACGGUUCCUAGUCAGAUUUUUUUCCGCUGUGCUUCGACAGGAACUCCUUCCCCAAGUAGUUGAAAAUUCAUGUCCACACAGAAACAUGCACAUGAAUGUUUAAAGCGGCUUUAUUCAUAAUUGCCAAAUACUGGAAGCAACCAAAUGUCCUUCAAAAGCUGAACAGAUAGACACACUGGCAUAUCCAUAUAAUUAAUAAUGUCCAGCAAUAAGAAGAAAUGAGCGGUUGGAGUUCCCGGGGUGGCACAGCAGAAGUGAUUCCUACUAGGAUCCAUGAGGAUGAGGGUUUGAUCCUUGGCCUCAAUUAGUGGGUUAAGGAUCCAGCGUUGCUGUGAGCUGUGGUGUAUGUCCCAGACAUGACUCAGAUCCCGUGUCGCUGAGGCUGUGGUGUAGGCUGGCAGCUAUAGCUCCAAUUCAACCCCUUUCCUGGGAAAUUCCAUCUUGCGUAUGCCGAAUCUCUGGCCCUAAAAAAGUAAAAAAAGAGAGAGUUCCUGUUGUGGCUCAGUGGUAACAAACCUGACUAGUAUCUGUGAGGAUCGGAUUCCUGGCCCUGCUCAGUGGGUUAAGGAUCCAGCGUUGACGUGAGCUGCAGUGACCUGGCUGGGAUCCGGGUGUGGCUGUGGUGUAGGCUGGCAGCUGCAGCUUUGAUUGGAUCCCUAGCCUGGAACGUCCAUAUGCUGCAGGUGUGGCCCUUAAAAAUAUACAGUCUGUUAAUUAAAAGAAAGAGAGAGAGAUUAAAUGAACAAAUCUGUAAAAUAAGUGGAUUAAAUUAUUUCCAGCUUUGAAUCUCAGAAUUAUUUCCAGCUCUGAA